RNAcentral lists this ribosomal RNA (253 nucleotides) under uncultured bacterium. Its description in RNAcentral is "partial 16S ribosomal RNA". It matches the Rfam family "Bacterial small subunit ribosomal RNA", at positions 524 to 776 of the family's 1533-position model. The record is from RNAcentral.
UACGAAGGGGGCUAGCGUUGCUCGGAAUCACUGGGCGUAAAGGGUGCGUAGGCGGGUCUUUAAGUCAGGGGGGAAAUCCUGGAGCUCAACUCCAGAACUGCCUUUGAUACUGAAGAUCUUGAGUUCGGGAGAGGUGAGUGGAACUGCGAGUGUAGAGGUGAAAUUCGUAGAUAUUCGCAAGAACCCCAGUGGCGAAGGCGGCUCACUGGCCCGAAACUGACGCUGAGGCACGAAAGCGUGGGGAGCAAACAGG